Molecule: long non-coding RNA, 1802 nt
Organism: Zea mays
Lineage: Eukaryota; Viridiplantae; Streptophyta; Magnoliopsida; Poales; Poaceae
Exons: 2
Source: RefSeq, a predicted model, not a curated record
CAACUGGAUGACGCAUGCAAUGACGCUAAUUCCGUCCAGAAUACCAGCCCAGCACGGUCUCCUCCUGCGACCAGCUGUCACAGCUCACGGCCAAUGAUCUCCCGACACGUGAUCUCUAUGUGAGCCGUUCGAAUCGAACCGCCUCAUCUCCGCCGCUCGCUUUGGCCAACGGGAGUGGGUACCAUAAAUAAAUACCUUUGUUUCCGCCAAUUAUUCGAUAACCAAGAACAAACCAUUGUUGGACGCGUUCCCCUCCUGCACGCAACCUCAUCUCGUCCUCCAGAUCCAGGAUGGCCGUCCUCCUUGAGACCUUGCCUCCCCGAGUGCUCUCGGUGAGCUACUUUGUUUCGAUUUAUCAGGAAAUCCGUUUGCUUCAUGUUGUGCAGGCUCAUAUCUGAUUGCUGGAUUCGGCAAACCCGCGUUGGAUCCUGUAUCGGUUAGUCCUUGCCUGCAAGGUUCUUGUUGUUUUGUUUUGGUGGUCGAGCAUCGCAUGUUCUGCUUCUGGAUCCAGAUCUGGAGAAAUCGCGAAGUCGUCGUCGUUCGGUUCGGAGCGGAUCUGAGGCGACGAUAGAUGGAGGCGGCGGGAUCUCUCGGUCUGCAGUCCUGCUCCACCUCGAUGGAUGAUGUCUCUGCGCUGAUAAUUAUUGGAUCAAUUUCGAUAAUUAUUAGUAGAUCUAUGAGAUAUGCCGCCUGGAAGAGGCGAGGUAAGCUGCAGCAUGUAAAAAAGAGAAAAAAGAUGUGACAUCCUAGAGGAGGAGGCCUUUGCCAUGAUGGGUGCGCUCGCAUGGCAGGCCAGGCAAUAAUAAAAAGAUGAUUAUUGCGUGCCGGGGGAGGAGAUCGCACGGGGGUUGAUGUUUUUGGCCCCGGGUUCUCCUCCCUCAUCUUGUUCCGUGUUCCUGUAUGCGUUGCUUCCGCUCCUGUUGGUCCGCUACGCACGCCGGAUUUUUGCAUCGAGCACGGAGAUCUACAACAAAAACAUGGAGCUACGACGCGAUUCCCAAGUAUGAUGGAUUCCACUAUUCAUCAACCGAAAUUAUGGCGCGCUUCAAUCGUGGCUACGCUGAUGGGGAACUGAUCCGUUAUGGUGUGCUUGGAUCGUGGCUGUGUGGAGAUGUGUGGAACUCAUUGGUUAUAAUGGUGAUGCUGAUGGAACUGAUUUUGCUCCCGUUGGACGGCCUGAUUGGUUACUUUGCCCUGUUGACUGUUUGAGAACGUACCGCCCAGGUUUACUUAUACUUACUGCUUUUUGACGGUACUGUACAUACAGUUCGACAAUUUAUUUAUUGGCAGUUCAAUUCAUCCAUUUAGCUAGGGGCACGAGAGCAUGAGUUCCCCUGGAGAUCAAUUUCAUGUUGCUUUUUUUUUGCGAAGUUCCAUUUUCUAUUUUCAAUUUGAUUAGGGCUAGUUUGGGAACUUAUUCUUCCAAGGUUUCCUAAGGAAAAUUAGUUCAUUUUUUUUUUUGGGAAAAUGAAGUUUCCAAAAGGGUUUCAAAUCCAUGGUGGUGUGGGAAUUGAUUGCAGUAAAGGCGAUGGGUAAGCUGAUACCGGUGGGUUGAGAAUUAGACCAUCAGUAGCUUACUCUUUCCCAUAUUUAAACUAUAAUCUACACUACAAAAUAGUGCAAAAGGUGUUCAUAGUGACCUAUGAAUAAUAUAAUCUACACUACAAAAAUAGUCCAAAAGGUGUUUGUAGUGACCAUAUAUGGGUGUACAUUGUACCUUUUUACAUUGUAUUUGUAGUGAUCAUAUAUGGGUGAACUACUGUACUUUUUUAUAUUGUAGAUCGUAUUAUUUAUAGUGUGCA